UUAAAUUGAAGAGUUUGAUCAUGGCUCAGAUUGAACGCUGGCGGCAGGCCUAACACAUGCAAGUCGAACGGUAACAGGAAGCAGCUUGCUGCUUUGCUGACGAGUGGCGGACGGGUGAGUAAUGUCUGGGAAACUGCCUGAUGGAGGGGGAUAACUACUGGAAACGGUGGCUAAUACCGCAUAACGUCGCAAGACCAAAGAGGGGGACCUUCGGGCCUCUUGCCAUCAGAUGUGCCCAGAUGGGAUUAGCUUGUUGGUGAGGUAACGGCUCACCAAGGCGACGAUCCCUAGCUGGUCUGAGAGGAUGACCAGCCACACUGGAACUGAGACACGGUCCAGACUCCUACGGGAGGCAGCAGUGGGGAAUAUUGCACAAUGGGCGCAAGCCUGAUGCAGCCAUGCCGCGUGUAUGAAGAAGGCCUUCGGGUUGUAAAGUACUUUCAGCGGGGAGGAAGGUGUUGUGGUUAAUAACCGCAGCAAUUGACGUUACCCGCAGAAGAAGCACCGGCUAACUCCGUGCCAGCAGCCGCGGUAAUACGGAGGGUGCAAGCGUUAAUCGGAAUUACUGGGCGUAAAGCGCACGCAGGCGGUCUGUCAAGUCGGAUGUGAAAUCCCCGGGCUCAACCUGGGAACUGCAUUCGAAACUGGCAGGCUUGAGUCUUGUAGAGGGGGGUAGAAUUCCAGGUGUAGCGGUGAAAUGCGUAGAGAUCUGGAGGAAUACCGGUGGCGAAGGCGGCCCCCUGGACAAAGACUGACGCUCAGGUGCGAAAGCGUGGGGAGCAAACAGGAUUAGAUACCCUGGUAGUCCACGCCGUAAACGAUGUCUACUUGGAGGUUGUGCCCUUGAGGCGUGGCUUCCGGAGCUAACGCGUUAAGUAGACCGCCUGGGGAGUACGGCCGCAAGGUUAAAACUCAAAUGAAUUGACGGGGGCCCGCACAAGCGGUGGAGCAUGUGGUUUAAUUCGAUGCAACGCGAAGAACCUUACCUGGUCUUGACAUCCACGGAAGAAUUCAGAGAUGGAUUUGUGCCUUCGGGAACCGUGAGACAGGUGCUGCAUGGCUGUCGUCAGCUCGUGUUGUGAAAUGUUGGGUUAAGUCCCGCAACGAGCGCAACCCUUAUCCUUUGUUGCCAGCGGUCCGGCCGGGAACUCAAAGGAGACUGCCAGUGAUAAACUGGAGGAAGGUGGGGAUGACGUCAAGUCAUCAUGGCCCUUACGACCAGGGCUACACACGUGCUACAAUGGCGCAUACAAAGAGAAGCGACCUCGCGAGAGCAAGCGGACCUCAUAAAGUGCGUCGUAGUCCGGAUUGGAGUCUGCAACUCGACUCCAUGAAGUCGGAAUCGCUAGUAAUCGUGGAUCAGAAUGCCACGGUGAAUACGUUCCCGGGCCUUGUACACACCGCCCGUCACACCAUGGGAGUGGGUUGCAAAAGAAGUAGGUAGCUUAACCUUCGGGAGGGCGCUUACCACUUUGUGAUUCAUGACUGGGGUGAAGUCGUAACAAGGUAACCGUAGGGGAACCUGCGGUUGGAUCACCUCCUUACCUUAAAGAAGC
Molecule: ribosomal RNA, 1556 nt
Filed under: Salmonella enterica subsp. enterica
Lineage: Bacteria; Pseudomonadati; Pseudomonadota; Gammaproteobacteria; Enterobacterales; Enterobacteriaceae
Also listed under: 9 other names
Description: bacterial SSU rRNA
Rfam family: Bacterial small subunit ribosomal RNA
Source: RNAcentral